RNAcentral lists this ribosomal RNA (821 nucleotides) under uncultured bacterium. RNAcentral's name for it is "bacterial SSU rRNA". It matches the Rfam family "Bacterial small subunit ribosomal RNA", at positions 636 to 1456 of the family's 1533-position model. The record is from RNAcentral.
UCUGACUNGAGUGCAGAAGGGGAGAGUGGAAUUCCAUGUGUAGCGGUGAAAUGCGUAGAUAUAUGGAGGANCACCAGUGGCGAAAGCGGCUCUCUGGUCUGUCACUGACGCUGAGGCUCGAAAGCGUGGGUAGCGAACAGGAUUAGAUACCCUGGUAGUCCACGCCGUAAACGAUGAGUGCUAGGUGUUAGGCCCUUUCCGGGGCUUAGUGCCGGAGCUAACGCAAUAAGCACUCCGCCUGGGGAGUACGACCGCAAGGUUGAAACUCAAAGGAAUUGACGGGGGCCCGCACAAGCGGUGGAGCAUGUGGUUUAAUUCGAAGCAACGCGAAGAACCUUACCAGGUCUUGACAUCCCGAUGCUAUUCUUAGAGAUAGGAAGUUACUUCGGUACAUCGGAGACAGGUGGUGCAUGGUUGUCGUCAGCUCGUGUCGUGAGAUGUUGGGUUAAGUCCCGCAACGAGCGCAACCCUUAUUGUUAGUUGCCAUCAUUAAGUUGGGCACUCUAGCGAGACUGCCGGUAAUAAACCGGAGGAAGGUGGGGAUGACGUCAAAUCAUCAUGCCCCUUAUGACCUGGGCUACACACGUGCUACAAUGGUCGGUACAACGAGUUGCGAGCCGGUGACGGCAAGCUAAUCUCUGAAAGCCGAUCUCAGUUCGGAUUGGAGGCUGCAACUCGCCUCCAUGAAGUCGGAAUCGCUAGUAAUCGCGGAUCAGCACGCCGCGGUGAAUACGUUCCCGGGCCUUGUACACACCGCCCGUCACACCACGAGAGUUUGUAACACCCGAAGUCGGUGAGGUAACCUUUUAGGGGCCAGCCGC